AGCAGCCGCGGUAAUUCCAGCUCCAAUAGCGUAUAUUAAAGUUGUUGCAGUUAAAAAGCUCGUAGUUGAAUUUCGGGAUCAAGUCGUCGGUCGUGCUCAGGUACGUACUGGCGUCAUUGAUUUCUCCCUUCUGACGAACCAUGAUGUCAUUAACUUGGUGUCAUGGGAAAUCAGGACUGUUACUUUGAAAAAAUUAGAGUGUUUAAAGCAGGCUCACGCUUGAAUACAUUAGCAUGGAAUAAUGAAAUAGGACGUUCGAUCCUAUUUUGUUGGUUUUAGGAUCAACGUAAUGAUUAAUAGGGAUAGUUGGGGGCAUUAGUAUUCAAUUGUCAGAGGUGAAAUUCUUGGAUUUAUUGAAGACUAACUACUGCGAAAGCAUUUGCCAAGGAUGUUUUCAUUAAUCAAGAACGAAAGUUAGGGGAUCGAAGACGAUCAGAUACCGUCGUAGUCUUAACCAUAAACUAUGCCGACUAGGGAUCGGAUGAUGUUAAUUUUUAAUGA
RNAcentral lists this ribosomal RNA (501 nucleotides) under uncultured Glomus. RNAcentral describes it as "SSU rRNA". It matches the Rfam family "Eukaryotic small subunit ribosomal RNA", at positions 569 to 1074 of the family's 1831-position model. The record is from RNAcentral. Lineage: Eukaryota; Fungi; Glomeromycota; Glomeromycetes; Glomerales; Glomeraceae.